Molecule: long non-coding RNA, 1766 nt
Organism: Sapajus apella (tufted capuchin)
Lineage: Eukaryota; Metazoa; Chordata; Mammalia; Primates; Cebidae
Exons: 4
Source: RefSeq, a predicted model, not a curated record
CUAUCUGUUCAUGGGAUGAGAUGGAGGGUUGGGGAGCAGGGUCCGAAGGGUCUCUGAUAUUUGGAAUUAUAGUGCCAGGAAAGCAAACAAGAGCCCCUGAAAAGAAACAAGCAGAAGGUUGGUGAUUGCACAACAAGGGGUCUCCAGAGAUGUCGUCAGACAGAUGGAGAAGGCUGGCGGGAGAGGAAGUGCAGAUGAGGAAACUGAGGCCCAGAGAGGAUUAAGUCACAUAGCAGCAGUGCUUCUCAGCCGUGAUGACUCUUGGCUACAAGUGACCAGAGAUGCUUCUAAACAUCGAACAAUGCACAGGACGGCAUCCCAGCAAGGAAUCAUCAGCCCCAAAGUCAACAGUGCAGUGUGGGAGGAACCCAGCUUUGAACACACCUCCUCCUGGAAGCCCUCUGGAUUUGACACACCUCCUGCCCUUCCUCCCCAACCCCACACCCUUUCCUUCUCCCCCUCGUAACCCCAGGAGAGGUUAAACAGGUAGAGGAGCCCAGGGCUGCGUCGGGAUGGAGUUAGGGUCAGGGUUGCCUGGCUCCAUCCCGUUGGGACACGGAGCCAGGUCCUGUCCCCAGUAUGGAGGUUCCAUGAUUAGAGCCUGGGACAUGCCUUAGACCUGUGCCAAGCAAAGGUUAGAGCUGGGAUCAGAGCAUCGUGGGGUGAGGGGAUUGAGAUGUAGCUGAGCUGGAGCUGGUCGGGGGGGCAGCGGGGGCUGCUGGGAUGAGAACUCCGCUGGGGAUGGUUUAGGGUCGUCAUUGCUGGAUACCCCAAAUUCCUUCCAUUUGAGUCCUGAUCUAGGUCAAACGAGGUGAGAGACGCCGCUCCCCCAACGCGCAGAGGAUCCCAAAUCUGAAAGAAGAACCAACACCCACAGAUCUGGGGCCCACAUCCGCACAGCUUUCUGUUUUUUGCCUGAAGUGACCAGGAGGUGUGUUGACACCGCAGAGGGGACGCAGGAAUUUGAAGCUUUGGUGAUCAAUGCUGCUUUAUGUGAAGCACAGAGAGGUUAAGUAACUUGCCAAAGGUCACACAGCACUUCAAUGGCAGAGCCAGGAAUUUGAACCCAGGUAGUGUGUGUCAGGCAUCUGCAGCCCUGGCCACUAUGCCACCUAGCCUUCUAUUUACUAAGACCCCUUGGCACUUUGCCCACCCUCCUUAUCCUCUCCAAAAUGCGUUCCCUGAUCCUUUACCCCCUCCUCACUCUCAACUGGGAACUGUAAAUCCCCACUCCUGGGUGGGCCACCUCCCAUGUCCAGGGCAGAAGGGAGCCAUGGACGGUUGUAGGCAGAGAGAAGACAUGGGCAGGUGGUUGCCGUUCAGGGAAGAAACAGAGAAGGGCUUUCUUCUCUCACUCCAGAAGAUGCCCACCUGUGCCCCUACAACUCAUCUCGCAACCGGGGGGGGGGGCAGCUGGGCUGGCCAUCCACUGGGGCUGAACGUCCCCGCCGUGUCAGGGAGGGGCCUGGCUGGAAUGUCCCCGGGACCCUGCCCUCCAGAACAGCUGGGACCAUGCUGCCUUGUCUGUCACCCUGGACCCAGUGGCCCUUGGUGCAUGCCUGUUGAGUGACCCUGGUGGUCUGAGGCUGUUCAUUUUGAGCCCCAAAUGUCCCCUCCACCUUGAUCUGGCCGAGAAUUAAGAUGGUAAAGAAAGGAGGGAGACCCCGGGCGUGCGGCUCAUGCCUGUAAUCCCAGCACUUUGGGAGGCUGAGGCGAGUGGCUCACCGGAGACCAGGAGUUCGAGACCAGCCUGAACAACUUGGCAA